UUUGAAAUUAGAAUGUGUACUGUAGUGAGCACAAAAUUCAUACUCUACUGAAAGCAGAUAUUGACAGGUUGAUCAUUUGUUCUUUGCCAGUUUUGUUACUUUUGUUGUGUGAAUUAGUCUGUGAGAGCUUGGAUUAUAAACUCACUGAAUAAUGAAUUAAUUAGAUAUGCAAUAUACGGUAAUACAAAUUUAUGUGAGUGUAGUGAACUGGUCUCAUAUUCUUGUGAGGAGGCUGUGUCUUGUUCAUGUUUGGUAGGAUAAAUCAAGUAGCUGUCCAUGUAUAAGUAAUUUGUUAUGCUUAAUUUUCAUGUCUUGUUGCAGCAAGAGUAAUUAGUUGCCUAAAUUUUCCGAUCCCUUCCCUUGCAAGUGCUGUCUGCUGUUUGUUGGUGUAUUGAAUAACUGAACGUAUUAAGUUUGAUGCUGAGUUGGGGAAGCUUUCAAUUAUAUUUUGUGCAUGCAUGCUCCUGGUUUUCAUUAAUUGUUUUCUAUGAUCACAAAUCAUUGCUGCACCAAACAAAAUGCUUUAACUGAAGGUGUUUUAGUCCAUAAUAUGGAGAGUUUUAAAUAACUUGACAUAGUUAUCCAUAAUGAUCAAUAUAUAUAGACUAAGGUCUUGAUUAGAUUUCUAAGUUCUGAAUGCUAUUUUAACCCCAGUUUUGCAUUAAAAUCUAGUGUUCUUGAUCUAUUUAGAGAUGCUGCAGGCUGCCUUCCAUGCUUGAAGUCUUAAUAUGAGCCUAGGAGGGCCAUACUCUGCACUUCUUUUAGUUGCCACAAGGAAAUCAUAUUAAUGAAUUAGUGUAUCUUCUUAGGCAUGUUUUUCACCCAUUAGGUUAAUUGAAUGAAAUACUAGGAACUUCUGGCAUUAAUUAUCUUAUACACCUUAAGAAUUUGGCUCUUAUCUAGAAUUUAUGAAAAAUGCUUAAGUAUUCUUUUUUCACUGUUGGUUGAAUUUUCAACUUAAGUGUCCGUGACCAUUGCCCUAUAUUCAUGGAAAUCAUGUUAUCUAUCUUCUACAUUUGAUGAAAACUUUAAGGCUUCAUUUGAAUAGAUGUAGGAUUCAAAUGAUGAGGUAUGUAACUUUGAUCUGUUGAAAUUUUAUAUCUUCUCACUUGAAAUGCAAAUUCAAAUUCAUUUGAAAUGCACACCUAUCCAAAUAGAGCUUAAAUUUUUGAGUUUCCUGAGCUUUCAAUACAAGUACACUGGAAAUUUGGAUGAUAUGUGUGAAAUGCUUAAUUGACAUUUCAUAUCUUACUGCAGUAUUUAGUGGUAUUGUCUCUAUUAGUUGAUUAUUUGAUAUUAGUUGGUUUUUAUGAUUUAGUUUGUGCUGUUAAGAGGCCUGUCUAGUGUCUGUUUAUUGCCAUGUUUUAUCAUAUGUUAUUUCUAAUGGUCUUACUGAUUGACAGUUUUGUCCCUUCAUUUUAAUGACACAAUUAGGCAGGUCUAUAGGGUCAAAAUUCUCUUCCUAUAUUGCUUUUGGUCUAUCUACUUUGAAAUUCUAUUUUAUAGAUUAUUUGUUCUCUAAAAUUAUUUUUAAUUCGUUUUUAGCCUUAACAACGUGGAAUUAUUUCAAAAAUUGGUCUGUAGGAAAUAUGGGAAUUUUGAAAAUUAUUUUGGGACUUGGUAUUCUCCAACGUGAUUACUAAUUAAAGCAAUGGUUUAUGGAUAUGCAUGACUAUGAUUUGUUGUGUAGAGAUUUGUGUUACUAUAAUAUGUUAUAUGGAGAUUUGAGCUGUGACAAUCUGUCUCUUGCUUUUUGGUAACUACAAGUCACACAAAUUUGGGCUCUUCGAUGGCUUAUAUGGAGAUUUGAGCUGUGUCAAUCCAUCAUCCUUCCUUUUAAUUUUGCUAAGCUUGUCGCUAGAAUGGUUGCACAUGAUCCAAAUGGAUUUUUUUUUAGUAUUGCAAGCACUUUAUGCAAGGCAUUGAAACAAAUUUUCUCGAUCCAUAAACUCUUAAUGGUGAAUGGAUUUUGUGCUCUUCUUGAUUGUGAAAUAUACUUGCAGCAAUGUGUAAAUUUUGGUUUUCCUCGGCCAAUUUUACUGUGUGCCCCUUCUGGUGGAUGACUUGGUUCUUUUGUGGCAAGUUUUAGGAAAAAGGCCAAAGGCUUAAAUAAAUUCUUAAACUUUGACCCAAUAAUUAAUUGAGCUACUGACCUUUUUAAAUGGGCAAUUGGCCUUGAUAUUUUUAAAAUGGAAUUAUCAGUCUUAAACUAUUAAAAAUUAAACAUAUUGCGCCAAAAAUAGCUCGCGUGCUCACGUCACAUAACGUCUAUUUUAUCCCUGUUAUCUCAUGCUGUGUUAAUUUAGAGCAGAGAUUACAGCAAAAGGAAUGGAAGCUUUACAGAUGAUUUUGCCUAUUCUAGGAGCGUAAGUCCAUCCUCUUUCCCAUCGCUCUCUCCUGCAGUCCCCUCUCAGUCUCGGUGAAGGCCAUUCUUGCAGCAUCAAAUAUGAUUGCUCCUACACCUUCGCCAGCUUGGGUUUGGCCAUCACACCUGUAAGGCUGGAAAGAACAUCUUACAGAGGAUGAAAAGCAAUCGGGUAUCUUUCCACCAU
Molecule: unclassified non-coding RNA, 2552 nt
Filed under: Hevea brasiliensis (rubber tree)
Lineage: Eukaryota; Viridiplantae; Streptophyta; Magnoliopsida; Malpighiales; Euphorbiaceae
Source: RNAcentral